UGCCAGCAGCCGCGGUAAUACGGAGGGUGCAAGCGUUAAUCGGAAUUACUGGGCGUAAAGCGCACGUAGGCGGACUUUUAAGUCAGGGGUGAAAUCCCGGAGCUCAACUCCGGAACUGCCUUUGAUACUGGAAGUCUUGAGUCCGAGAGAGGUGAGUGGAACUCCGAGUGUAGAGGUGAAAUUCGUAGAUAUUCGGAGGAACACCAAUGGCGAAGGCAACUUCCUGGACCAAAACUGACGCUGAGGUGCGAAAGCGUGGGUAGCAAACAGGAUUAGAUA
Molecule: ribosomal RNA, 279 nt
Filed under: uncultured bacterium
Lineage: Bacteria
Description: partial 16S ribosomal RNA
Rfam family: Bacterial small subunit ribosomal RNA
Source: RNAcentral